AGCAAUGAAACAAAGUUGGAAGCGUUGUGAUGUGAGUCGGUUUAGAUGAGGUUCAGAUUCAGAUUCUAUGUAGUUGCAGCCAGGCUCCUUCUUGCAUUGUAUGCACAUCUACAUCUACAUCCACAUCCACAUCAACAUCCGGUGGAUAUCAGACAUCUGUGGCGCACACUUCCCCCUCAUAAACAACGCGCCAUGACUAUAAAUACCCACAAUCAUUGACUCUGGCUCGGGCUCCAAGCGGCUUUUAGUUAUGCACUCAAACUCGGACGUGCAGCUGCUCUAUAAUUACCCCAAAACACGGGUGGGGGGAUGUGAAAACGUUCUCUAGAGGGUGACAUUUGAUGUUGGCCUGGGGCGGAAUGGGAGCACCACAGCCAUCGGUGCUGCUCCCGUCUGAAACUUUUGUUUAUGUCUAUUUUCAACACUCCCCAGCAAAAGGAACACCAAGGCCCUAAAAUAAACUCUCCACAUUCUCCCCAAUCUGCAGGCACGCUGGAACUAAGAACCCGCGAUCUCUACCCGGUGCCUAAAAAUAAACACUCCAAAAAGGUUGGAGACAAAAUGGCACGCGCCCUUGCCGCCUCAUGUGUUAGCCAGACAUAUGCCACAGGCUUAUUUUUCCAAGGAGAAGGGAGGAACACAUACCAUGACCUAAUCCGUGUGUGCAUUUACAGCAGCCAUGUGCAGCUGCAGUUGGAGCCUUCAAUAGGCUCAAGUAUUACUCAGCAAAAUAUUUUUUAUGAACACCCAGCACUUGUGGAUUGUAUACUGGGUAUAAUGCUAACGACAAUUAAUUCAAUUAAAAACUACGCAAUAUUAUUGUUCCGCGGGCAGCUGCCUACGGGCAUAUUUACCUGCCACGUAGGGUGCUAUAGUGUAUAUGUACUAUCGAGAACCACACAUCCCCGCCAUAUAUGUAUGAACCAUAAAACGAAGCGACGAACGCAGAAGCAAUUGGUAAGCGCAAGAAUUUCGCUGCUGCCGCAGUGAGUGUUGCUAAAAAUAGCGAGGCGCGUCCUCUUUACAUACAACAACGCCCCGAGUAGCAGCAACGGACACGGGCGUACACCUCUCCGUACCGCCACCGCCCGCAAUGCCCCCUCCCCGUCCAGCCACGGGUGCCAAUGCCAAGUGAGUUCAGUUUCGGGUAUACAAGAGCGGAUGGCAAGUUAAUUCGCCCCUUUGGAGGUGGGUAAACAAGUUGGCCCGUGGCAGCCUCGUCGUUGCGUUCUUACCUUGAUUCGACCAGAUCCAAUUGGG
Long non-coding RNA from Drosophila elegans, 1260 nucleotides. RefSeq lists it as uncharacterized. Lineage: Eukaryota; Metazoa; Arthropoda; Insecta; Diptera; Drosophilidae. The record is from RefSeq and is a predicted model, not a curated record. The transcript is spliced from 3 exons.